Molecule: ribosomal RNA, 370 nt
Filed under: uncultured organism
Description: partial 16S ribosomal RNA
Rfam family: Bacterial small subunit ribosomal RNA
Source: RNAcentral
GUAGGGUGCGAGCGUUAAUCGGAAUUACUGGGCGUAAAGCGUGCGCAGGCGGCUUUGCAAGACAGAUGUGAAAUCCCCGGGCUCAACCUGGGAACUGCAUUUGUGACUGCAAGGCUAGAGUACGGCAGAGGGGGAUGGAAUUCCGCGUGUAGCAGUGAAAUGCGUAGAUAUGCGGAGGAACACCGAUGGCGAAGGCAAUCCCCUGGGCCUGUACUGACGCUCAUGCACGAAAGCGUGGGGAGCAAACAGGAUUAGAUACCCUGGUAGUCCCACGCCCCUAAACGAUGUCAACUGGUUGUUGGACGGCUUGCUGUUCAGUAACGAAGCUAACGCGUGAAGUUGACCGCCUGGGGAGUACGGCGCAAGGUUG